RNAcentral lists this ribosomal RNA (472 nucleotides) under uncultured bacterium. RNAcentral describes it as "bacterial SSU rRNA". It matches the Rfam family "Bacterial small subunit ribosomal RNA", at positions 355 to 825 of the family's 1533-position model. The record is from RNAcentral.
UGAGGAAUAUUGGACAAUGGGCGAAAGCCUGAUCCAGCCAUGCCGCGUGUGUGAAGAAGGUCUUCGGAUUGUAAAGCACUUUAAGUUGGGAGGAAGGGUUGUAGAUUAAUACUCUGCAAUUUUGACGUUACCGACAGAAUAAGCACCGGCUAACUCUGUGCCAGCAGCCGCGGUAAUACAGAGGGUGCAAGCGUUAAUCGGAAUUACUGGGCGUAAAGCGCGCGUAGGUGGUUUGUUAAGUUGGAUGUGAAAUCCCCGGGCUCAACCUGGGAACUGCAUUCAAAACUGACUGACUAGAGUAUGGUAGAGGGUGGUGGAAUUUCCUGUGUAGCGGUGAAAUGCGUAGAUAUAGGAAGGAACACCAGUGGCGAAGGCGACCACCUGGACUGAUACUGACACUGAGGUGCGAAAGCGUGGGGAGCAAACAGGAUUAGAUACCCACGUAGUCCCUGAGCGGGCUGGCAAGGCGCAU